This 915-nucleotide ribosomal RNA is filed under the name Staphylococcus aureus. RNAcentral describes it as "partial 23S ribosomal RNA". It matches the Rfam family "Bacterial large subunit ribosomal RNA", at positions 1487 to 2399 of the family's 2925-position model. The record is from RNAcentral. Lineage: Bacteria; Bacillati; Bacillota; Bacilli; Caryophanales; Staphylococcaceae.
CGAAGCGUGCGAUUGGAUUGCACGUCUAAGCAGUAAGGCUGAGUAUUAGGCAAAUCCGGUACUCGUUAAGGCUGAGCUGUGAUGGGGAGAAGACAUUGUGUCUUCGAGUCGUUGAUUUCACACUGCCGAGAAAAGCCUCUAGAUAGAAAAUAGGUGCCCGUACCGCAAACCGACACAGGUAGUCAAGAUGAGAAUUCUAAGGUGAGCGAGCGAACUCUCGUUAAGGAACUCGGCAAAAUGACCCCGUAACUUCGGGAGAAGGGGUGCUCUUUAGGGUUAACGCCCAGAAGAGCCGCAGUGAAUAGGCCCAAGCGACUGUUUAUCAAAAACACAGGUCUCUGCUAAACCGUAAGGUGAUGUAUAGGGGCUGACGCCUGCCCGGUGCUGGAAGGUUAAGAGGAGUGGUUAGCUUCUGCGAAGCUACGAAUCGAAGCCCCAGUAAACGGCGGCCGUAACUAUAACGGUCCUAAGGUAGCGAAAUUCCUUGUCGGGUAAGUUCCGACCCGCACGAAAGGCGUAACGAUUUGGGCACUGUCUCAACGAGAGACUCGGUGAAAUCAUAGUACCUGUGAAGAUGCAGGUUACCCGCGACAGGACGGAAAGACCCCGUGGAGCUUUACUGUAGCCUGAUAUUGAAAUUCGGCACAGCUUGUACAGGAUAGGUAGGAGCCUUUGAAACGUGAGCGCUAGCUUACGUGGAGGCGCUGGUGGGAUACUACCCUAGCUGUGUUGGCUUUCUAACCCGCACCACUUAUCGUGGUGGGAGACAGUGUCAGGCGGGCAGUUUGACUGGGGCGGUCGCCUCCUAAAAGGUAACGGAGGCGCUCAAAGGUUCCCUCAGAAUGGUUGGAAAUCAUUCAUAGAGUGUAAAGGCAUAAGGGAGCUUGACUGCGAGACCUACAAGUCGAGCAGGGU